Non-coding RNA from Podarcis lilfordi (Lilford's wall lizard), 330 nucleotides. The record is from the annotation of a GenBank genome assembly. NCBI's taxonomy places the organism in Eukaryota, Metazoa, Chordata, Lepidosauria, Squamata, Lacertidae.
UGACAGCGACCAGGAACCUAGCCACUUUCAGGGUCGUAUGGGUAUCCUUAUCCUGCAAGAUUUGGGCAAGGUGGAAUUUUGGUGGAGUACCCUCUAAUUUCUGUAUGAUUGAUCCCAACAAAUUUGCCCGUGGCACCUUGAAUAAGGGGCAAGUGAACAUAAUGUGCUGAAGCGACUCCGGCAUCUCCUUAUCACAUUCGCACAUGGCGGAGGUUUGGCCCUUUGAGAAUCUAUGUCUCAGGGCAUUGGAGGGAAAACAUUAAACCUCGCUUUGGUGAAGGCCAGCCUAUGGGCAACAGUCGAAAGGGAGGAGAGGUAUGAUGGAACGCA